Molecule: RNA transcript, 8599 nt
Organism: Etheostoma spectabile (orangethroat darter)
Lineage: Eukaryota; Metazoa; Chordata; Actinopteri; Perciformes; Percidae
Gene: aard
Gene name: ankyrin repeat domain containing 26
Exons: 36
Source: RefSeq, a predicted model, not a curated record
AUGCUCAAAACAUACCUGGUACUGACAUCUCUUACAACAAUGAAACUAGUCCUGGUAUUGUCGCUGAGAAUGUAGGUACCUCAGAGGAUGAUGUCAAUUCUGAGACACAAAAAGAUGAGACCAUCUGCCCAGCUGGAACAGUAAGUUAUGCAAUUCCAGCACCAUUAGAUGUAGAGGAAGAUUGUGUCGUGUCAGCCAUUAGGGUAGAAUCAAAGUUUUCUGAUGAAGAUGACAGCCUUGGGAAGGAAUGCAUACUGAUAUCCGACCUGGGUUCAACAAGAGUUCCCCCACCAUCCAGACAUCACACAGAAACUUGUUCACCUACUGCAGUUAAGAAGGAAGAGUUUGAAAGAGAGAUUGAAAAGGAUGAUGAUGACUCCUGGAGCAAUAAACAAAACUUCGGUGUUGCAGUGAGCAAUGGCGGUGGUGAUGAUGAAGAGUAUAAUAGAACAGGAAGAUUUGGUCGUAACACUGUACUGGCUAAUCAAAGUAAUGUGGUGCCUGAGGAUGGAUUGGAAAAUACAGACCGUUCUUCUAAUGCUGAAGAUUAUGCUGGGUCCAACAAAGAUGCUUUCAAACGUAGAUCUUCAUGGGGGUCUUCAUUAGAGGACAGUGACACUGACCUACCCAGAGAAAAUGAGGUAAACAAGGAGACGCUUGAUCCAAAAAGUAAUGUUCAAGCAUCCGAGCUACAACCAGAAGCAGCAACACUGCAUUCAAAAUGCUCAUUACCUCAUCCAAAUAAAGACCACCCGGAUACCUCAUGGGAUUCGUCAUCACCAGUAGUACCAUCUCCAAAAUGUGUCUCCCCUCAGCCAGUGAUAAAUGCAUCUACAUCCUUAUUUGGAUUAUAUUCAACAAGCACCCCUGAGUCCAAAAACAGAACAACAAAAGCAACAGUAGAUGAAUCAGAGUGGGAUUCUUCCUCUGUAAAUAAUGACCAAAAUGAUAAUGGGUCCUUCACUAAAGGUGAUUUGCAGUCACCAAUUUCUAAAACAGAUAUUGUAACAGCAAACCAGACUGGAGAGCAGCAGUGUUCUGAUGGCUGGGAAGAAGAAGAUAAAGAAAAUGUUGAAAAAGAGUCAAAUGACCCCUCCCCUGCAGCAGUGUCACCGGUACCCGAGGAUGAGAAACCAACCAGAAGCCAAUUGGUUGUUGACGAUGAUGUUAAAUUAAUUGGUCACUUAUCACAAAUGGAAGGAAAAUUGGACUCAGAGAAUGAGAACGGUGAUGAUAGUAGUUGGGACGAUGAAGAGGAAAGUGAUGAGUCAGAAAAGCAGAAGACAACGGCGACAAAGGAGGAUGAAGUUUUAGACUGUGGUAACACCUUGAAGACAUGUCUUUCUACCCCAACCAAGUCGAGGCCCACAAGUGCAAUAGACAAGAUGUUGAAGGGCAAUGAAGAAAACGAGAAGGCCCCCCAAUCUAUCAUUGAUGGAAAGGAUGAGCAUCCAGAGGAUAACAGACUGGAGGAGGAAACGUUGGUGGGGGAGAAAGACAAUCCCAGCAAAGACGAUGAGACUAGUGAGGACUCCGACAGCCAGGACCAAAAUCUGCAGUAUGAUGUUGCCAAUGCCACAGUCAAGUUGUCUGACGGCGACCAUGAACACAUGGCUCAAUUAACUGCAUAUGUUCCACUGGAAAAUAUUGGAAAAAGUGGCAUUGUUCUACAGACCAGAAUGUCAUCAGAUAACCCCAGUGAAGAAGUUUUUUCAAGCCCUCCCACUGCUGGUCAACACAAUGAUUCGGACAGGAACACAUUGUCUGAUGAAGCGUUACCUCAGACUGACAUUGAUGGUGUAGAUCUAGACUCCCCUGAUGAGGCAGAGAGCAUAGGCAUGAGAAGUCAAGAGUUCAGAAACAUUGAAGAGCCUGUUGUUAAGAAAGAAGAUUCCACUGAGGAUGAGGAUGAUGAAAAGGACCAAGACGAGGAGAGGGAUGAGGAGGCAAAAGAAGAAGACAACGUCUCGGAUGAAAAUGAUCAACCUGAAGAUAGUGGAGAAUCCCUAGACGCCACCUUACCUGUUCCUGAGACAGAUGUCUCUAAAGAUAAGAAAAGAGAUUUCCUGUCCGAGCUGGGUCUAGAGAAGGGAGAAGAGGAGCAGGAUUCUUGGGACUCUGAGUCCCACUCUGAAAACCUCAAUAUGACACAUGAAGAGAAACAAAGCUUGCAUACUCAGGAUCAAGAAGAGAUGGCCACUGUUGAAGAAGAGAUUAAAGAAAACUUGUUUUAUAUUCCCUCUUUUUUAAGAGGGGAUGGAGGCAAUAGGAUGGCAGUCCUAGAGCCUCGGAGGAGUGUAGGGAGGCCAAGAGGCAACCAGGGAGAGGUUGGAAACGACGACAAUGGUGAUGAUAAUGGAGGAGAACAUGCUGAUGAAGAUGAUACUAUACAGAAAGAGACUGAGAAGGCAAAAUGGGAACCACUUCGUGUUUUGAGCAAACUUGAAGGAGAUAACGAACAAAAGACCGACUUAAUGGAAGAGCUUGGUCUGGGUGAUGUUGAUGAUCUUGAAGCCAAAAAAGCAGAUGCUUCGGAUUGGGACUCAGCCAGCACUACCAGUAAGAGAACCUUGCCCAGCCGCAGAAUGCCCUCCCCUGGACUUGAGGAGUUCCCAGAAUGCUCCUCUCCAUCUGUCAAAGAGCAAAAGGAGGUCAUUGCUCCAGCAGCCCCCCUGACACCUCAGAGGAGCAUGAACUCCAACAAGACACUGCCCAGCACACCCCCUCAACCUGCGCCCCAACCACAGCCUCGAGCAAGGAAGAUGGUGCUUCAGAAAUCAGAGAGUGAAGAAGAAUCAGAUUGGGAACCAGACAAUGUGGCGUCCACUUGCAAUACCGCCAAGAUUGACAAUCAGCUGCAAAACAUAGCUGAGCUUCAGGCAGUGGUUACACCAGGUUCCCCUGAGCUCACACCAAUGGCAAGAGACAGUAAAAGUAAACUAGAGCCUGAAAAGCAGCAACAAAAGGAGAUAGAUGAGGCACUAGAUACAUGCCAGUUAGAUCUGAACCCAUGUCCAUCUGGCCACGUGGGCUCUGACGGUGGAGAAAAGGAUAAUUACUUUGUAGAUGAGUGCAGUCCUGCAGAAAGAAGUAAAGCGGGUCAUGUACCGUGGGAGAAUCGCUACGAGAAGCUCUGGGUAGAGGUGGAGAAAAGGGAGGUCAAAUCCACUUUCAAGAAUGUUGCUGGUGAAUUAAAAGAGAAGUUUGGAGAACUGCUCAAAUCAAGACAUUCUACAGAAGAAGAACAGGCCACGGCUGAAUUUACUGCUGCAGAAGAAGAGUCAAGUGAUGAAGAUGAAGAAGGGGACGUUAUUGUGCGCCCCAUGGCCAGAGCGAGGACUACCGUCCUUCUCACUAUACCUGAGCAGAGGGAGUCUGGACUAGAAGACUCUGUAACGGAGUCAACUGACAACUCCUUAUGCGAGAACAUGAUACAGGUCUGUGAGCCCCUGGCCAGUGAGAGAAUCAUGUGUCCAGAGCCAGAUCUACUCACUGAUGAUGUUUUGGAGGAGUCUCUUUCACCUCAACUCGCCACAGCACAAAAAGACAGCAGCUUAUCACCUGUUACCACAACUUUUACUGAUAAUCAUACCGUACCCACGUUGGAUGUAGACCUGAGCACAUUCUUAAAAGAUGCGGCCAAACUCAGGCCAUUCCACAAACCACAUCUGGACCACAUCUGGAAGGACAACAAUGCUAAUGGUGAUGAAGCUGACAAAAACAAUAGAAGUUCAGAUGAGAAUCCUGAAGAACUUAUCAAGUCUCAUCCCCCCUCACUAAGCAGACGUUCAGCAUUUAUCCAAGGUGUUUCUGAUGAGGAGCUGGAAGAGGACAUGGAAAGAUUUAAACUUGAGGUUGGCAGGGAGACGACAAGGACUGCUAUGCCAGUGCACAAAUUAAGUACUUCCUUGGAUACUGGUGGAACGGCAUUGGAAGAAGUGAGUCCUGGGAAACCUGAGACCAGAGCAAGAGCAGUUUACCAGGAACAGCAGCCUGUGGCCACCAAUAGCACCAACGGGGCACCAGUGCAAUUGCAUCUCCCACUCCAGCAGACCUGCAAUAGCAACAGACAGGAGGGCCAAGCUGUAGAGGAGACCUUACAGCUGGAGCUGGUCAGAGGGGCCCGGCGCAGCGGAGCCCCUCAGACCAACACUCAUGUCAAUGGAGAUCCGCUCUCUGUGUUUGAUGAUAGCACUUUAAGUGAAGUGUCGGACGAUGAAGGAAGGUUUCCAACCAGUGGGAAACAGAAAACUGAGAACCCUGAAGUUGAGAUGGCAGAAGACUUUGAUGAACUCACUCAGUCAUCCGACACAGCCACAGAUGACAUUGACUCUCCCACUUCAGGCUAUCGUCACGCAUCCCUCCUCAUUCAGAAGCUGGACUCAGCCACUUUGGACUCGAGAAGCAUGGUGAAACUGCAGAACAUUUUCCACGAAUAUGAGCGCUCCAUCCAAAAGGCAAGGAGUCGCCAUGGGUACCUGGCAGACAAGGUGAGCCAUUUGGAAAUGGAGAGGGCGGAGUUGAAGAGCUCUUUGGAGGAAGUUAAAGAUGUUAAAUCUGCCUUGGAGCGCAACCAGCUGGAACUGCAGACUGAAGUCACAAACCUCAAAUUUCAGCUGAAACAAGAGCAGGAAAAUAGCCGCAAUGCCACCAUGAUGUACAACACAACCCGAGAUAAGCUCAGGAGGAUGGAGGAGCAGCAUCAGCUGGAGGUUCAGGAGAGACAAAAGGUGGAGCUCACCCUCAGGAAUCUGGAGCUGGAGAUGAGAACACUGGUCAACAACAUUAAACAGCUUGAAGAGGACCACAGUGAAAGCCAGAGACUUCUGGCCCAGGAGCGCAGUGCUCGGACGCUGCAGGAGAAUCUGCUCAACAGCCAUCUCCGUAAGCAGCAAGAGAUAGAGAACGAGAAUAAAAGAAACAUGAGCAAAAGCAAUGAGGCUUUGUCCCAGCUCACUGAAGCCAGUGACAGGGAGAGGGAGUUGAUCCAGCAGACUGCUACCUUGCAGGAGCAACUGACCAGCCUGAGAACAGACCUCGAACAUUUGCAGGCCAACAGCAGUCUCAAAGAGAGCCAUCUUUUGGAAGAGAACGAGGCCCUCAAGGAACAGCUAGAAGACGCUCGUCGAGAUCUCAAACUCAACAGUGAAGCCCUGACCCAAACUGUCUUCAACUGCAAUAACCAGGUGACCACCCUGAAGUCUGAGUUAGCAAUGACAACAACCCGGCUGGAAAAUGAGCGGCAGACUCGCGAAGCACUGGAUGCAGAGGUGGAGUCCACUCGUACCCGCUUGGCUGGAGCCAUAAAGGAAGCAGAGCUUUGCCGGGCAGCUAACACAGACACCGAGAGAACUCUGCUCCGGGAGAAAGAUGAACACCAGCGUCUUAAAGACAGAUUCACAGGUGAAGCAGCCAAUCAACGCGAGGAAGUUAGCAGCCUCACACAGAAGCUGGCCAAGGCAGAGACUCGUGCAAACAGCAUGGAAAAUGAGGUUUACAGGGCGACACUACAGCUGACGGAGAAGGGCCUGCUGCUGGAGGUCCUGCAGCGGGAGAAGGACCAGGCAGCUUUACGUGUCAAAGAGUUAGAAGCGGCUCUUCAGGCCGAGAGAGAACUGGUCAGCCGUGCCGGAGCACGCCAAGAGGCCGUGCAGGAGCGACUUGCCCAAACCCAGAGUGAGUGCAUGCUAUUGCGGCAACAGCUAGAGGAGGCCCAAAACAAAGGUGUUGCAAAGGAUCAUGCUGUUACAGAUGCCCAAGAGCGCUUCAGUGACAUUCUGUCCAAGCUGCACUCUGACAGCGAAGAGAGAGUACAACUAGUGGAGGAGAGAAAUAAAGAGCUUGCCAGUAAGGCUGCUGAUCUUCGAGAUCAGAUCUAUAAGUUAGAGGAAGAGAAGAGCGAAAGAGAGACAAGUGUAAGGCAGCUGCAGCAGGAGCUAGCUGACUCACUCAAGAAGCUGUCAAUGAGUGAAGCUUCUCUGGAGGUCAACACACGCUAUCGCAAUGACCUGGAAGAGGAGAAGGCUCGGCUCUUUAAAGACUUGGACAGGCUCAAAGGAAAGCUGGAAGAAAGCGAAGACCAGUAUAUGCAAGCUGAGAGACGUAUUAACAGUCUAAAGAGCUGUCUGGAUGAAAGGGAGAAGCAACUCACCACUGCUGCUCAGAGACAGCAGGAGGUGCUGUCCGCCUCAGCAGCUGCUGAUACCACCAUCAAACAGCUGGAGGAAGCUGUGCAAAGGCUCGAGAUAGAGAACGCCAGGCUAGAAGCUGCUGCAAAGCAACAGUCCAACAAAAUUGAUGCACUUCAGAAAGGGGCUCAGGAAUUUGUCAUGCUAUCUGAUCGCUCGCCUGGAGGAGGGGUUGGUAUUGUGGAUGUCAGAGAUCAUCUGGAGGACUUGGUCACAAACCUCCAAAGCAGUAAGAUGACUUUGGAAGACCAACUCAGUCGAGAGGUCCAGAAGCAAAGCAUGCUGUCUCACACAGCCCAGGACUCGCAGGCCUUGUGGGAGGAGGAGCUGAAAAGCCGCUCUAAGUUAGGACUGCGCCUGGCAGAGCUUGAAAAGGAAAAAGGAGACCUGAGCACCCAGAUGGAAAUAGAAAAGAAGAAAGCCAAGAAAAUAGCAGAGCAGAAAAAGGCUGUGGACACCCGGCUGGAUCAAGAGAUGAAGAGAAACACAGAGCUCCAAAAAGAAAUGUACAGGUUGCGUACUGUAUUGAAGACUGCAAAGAAGAAAUUACGGGAUCAGGACACUGGUGGAGCAGAAUUUGGCUUUCCUAUGAACAGUCUACAGGUGGACCCUGGCAGACAUAGCCAAGCAGAGGGUGCCCUUGCACGAUUGAAAGAAAAGGUCGAUGAUCUGCAGAUGCAACUGGAGAAGGAAGGGUCCCGUCGCAGCCAGCUAGAGAAGGUGAACGGAGACCUUAAGGAUCAGCUGUCUUCCCUGAAGAGCAUGAGCCGCAGUAACGAACACCUGGAGAGGGAAAAGAGGCAGCUGGAGGAGGAAGUGCUGGACCUGAGACGCCGAAUGGAGGCUGUUCAGAUGGAGCACAGCCAGGUGGAACAGUACCGCCAUGAUGCAGAGGAGCGGGCCCGUCAGGAGAUCCAACAGAAACUGGAGCAGGUCAACAUCUUCCUGCAGUCGCAGGCAGCAUCCCAGGAAGCAUUGGAUCAGAUUAAAGCGGUCAAUGAGACCAACCUGCGUUCUCAGCUGGAGCAGAAGAUCCGGGAGCUGGAGGGUGAACUGGGCCGGGCCCGCGCCACCCAUCAUGACAGCCUCAGUCAAAAAGAAUCCACACGCACGGAGCUAGAGAGAUACCGCCAGCUCUACACAGAGGAGCUGCGCAGCCGCAAGUCCCUGACUGCCAAACUAGAGAGGGCCAACAGUCGUCUCGCAGAAGCCAAUUCUAAGUUGCUCAACGAGCGCAGCAGGUCUCUGAUCACCAGCAGCAUCGCAAACGGUAGCCUUGGAGGGCCCUCGCUGGACCUGGGCUCUUUGGGUUCCCCAGCACAAUAUGGGACCACACUGGGACCCCUCAACAGGAGCUUAGGCCUGGGAUUCUCCCUCCUCAGCCCUGUAACUGAGGGGCAGAACAGCCGGGUGGAGGACUACCUUGCCAAGCUUCUAGCUCAAAAGUCUAUCUCUCACCUCUCCUCUCUUCAGCCAGACCCAUAACCAGAUGCAGACUGGGCUGGAUAGAAACAUAUCAAAGGAAUUAAACAAUGCCACAGCAGAGCUGGACUCGGCUUCAGCGCGGAUGUCACCGGUAGGCUCUGCCUCCAGGGUGGAGCUGGACCCCGUCAGCAGGGCCACGCAGCAGUACUUGGAGGUACUCAAGAAGAACAAUAUGAUCUGAACUCACAUCCCAGCUGCUCGCAUUCAAAUGUUGUAUUUCAGCCAAUUAAAAUCCUGACUGAACCAAGGCCAAAGCCACUGCCCAGUCAUAUAACACUAAGAAUCCAACUUUGUAGGUAUUUAUUCUUCCUUCUUUAAUGAAAGAAAACAAACAUACCGGGAAUGCACAUUGCACUUAACCACUCAGGAGCAAAGGGCAAGAGUCAUAUAUAUAUAUAUAUAUAUAUAUAUAUAUAUAUAUAUAUAUAUAUAUAUAUAUAUAUAUAUAUAUAUAUAUAUAUAUAUAUAUGUAUGUAUAUAUGUAGAGAGAGAGAGAAUUGUGGUUUGGAUUUUUAUUUGUGAAUAUUGGUGUUACUAAAUUGGAAUUUGAUGAAUGCAUCAUUACUAAUUUCGCCAAGAUAUUACAUUUGGUACGUGCCAUCAAAUGGUGCAAAAUCUGUCUUGGUCUUGCAUUAUUAGACUCAUUGGAGUAUUGUGUUUAUGAUUAUUUUAUUUAUUCAUGAAUAUGUACGAUAAGACGAGCUGGAAUACUCUCUGGCUACUGAAACAGGGUGACUUCAUUUGUACAACUGUCAUUUCAGCUUUGAUUGGCUUGAUUUUAAGGCCACCAAAGAUUAAACAGACUUUUUGUGUUUGUUAGUUUUUCAUUAUUCAUAAAUACUGUAACAGAAUACAUAUAGGAAACCAUUUAUGACGCCUGUACCUUACAGAAAACUCUAAAGUUGUAAAUAAAAAAUAAAAAUAAA